GAUGAACGCUAGCGGCUGGCCUAAUACAUGCAAGUCGAGGGAGAAUGUUGGAUUCGUCUGACAUGAAACCGGCGCACGGGUGCGUAACACGUAUGCAACCUACCUUUAACUGGGGUAUAGCUCAGAGAAAUCUGAAUUAAUCCCCCAUAAGACUACGACAUGGCAUCAUGAUGUAGUUAAAGCUCCGGCGGUUAAGGAUGGGCAUGCGGUACAUUAGCUAGUUGGUGAGGUAAUGGCUCACCAAGGCUACGAUGUAUAGGGGGUCUGAGAGGAUGAUCCCCCACACUGGUACUGAGACACGGACCAGACUCCUACGGGAGGCAGCAGUAGGGAAUAUUGGUCAAUGGACGCAAGUCUGAACCAGUCAUGCCGCGUGAAGGAUGAAGGCCCUAUGGGCCGUAAACUUCUUUUAUUAGGGAAGAAAAAACGGGAUGCGUCCUGUACUGACGGUACUUAAUGAAUAAGGAUCGGCUAACUUCGUGCCAGCAGCCGCAGUAA
This 498-nucleotide ribosomal RNA is filed under the name uncultured bacterium. RNAcentral's name for it is "partial 16S ribosomal RNA". It matches the Rfam family "Bacterial small subunit ribosomal RNA", at positions 28 to 523 of the family's 1533-position model. The record is from RNAcentral.